GGAGCGUAGGCGGAUUUUUAAGUGAGAUGUGAAAUACUCGGGCUUAACCGUAGUAAGCUUUUGAAACUGGAGGACUUGAGUGCAGGAGAGGAGAGUGGAAUUCCUAGUGUAGCGGUGAAAUGCGUAGAUAUAUGGAAGAACACCAGUGGCGAAGGCGGCUCUCUGGUCUGCAACUGACGCUGAGGCUCGAAAGCAUGGGUAGCGAACAGGAUUAGAUACCCUGGUAGUCCAUGCCGUAAACGAUGAGUGCUAAGUGUUGGGAGGUUUCCGCCUCUCAGUGCUGCAGCUAACGCAUUAAGCACUCCGCCUGGGGAGUACGACCGCAAGGUUGAAACUCAAAGGAAUUGACGGGGGCCCGCACAAGCGGUGGAGCAUGUGGUUUAAUUCGACGCAACGCGAAGAACCUUACCAGGUCUUGACAUCUAGUGCAAUCUGUAGAGAUACGGAGUUCCCUUCGGGGACGCUAAGACAGGUGGUGCAUGGCUGUCGUCAGCUCGUGUCGUGAGAUGUUGGGUUAAGUCCCGCAACGAGCGCAACCCUUGUUAUUAGUUGCCAGCAUUAAGUUGGGCACUCUAAUGAGACUGCCGGUGACAAACCGGAGGAAGGUGGGGAUGACGUCAAGUCAUCAUGCCCCUUAUGACCUGGGCUACACACGUGCUACAAUGGGCAGUACAACGAGAAGCAAGCCUGCGAAGGCAAGCGAAUCUCUGAAAGCUGUUCUCAGUUCGGACUGCAGUCUGCAACUCGACUGCACGAAGCUGGAAUCGCUAGUAAUCGC
Molecule: ribosomal RNA, 778 nt
Filed under: uncultured Bacillota bacterium
Lineage: Bacteria; Bacillati; Bacillota
Description: bacterial SSU rRNA
Rfam family: Bacterial small subunit ribosomal RNA
Source: RNAcentral